UACCAUAGAAGACAAGUUUGGACUGCG
Molecule: non-coding RNA, 27 nt
Filed under: Rattus norvegicus (Norway rat)
Lineage: Eukaryota; Metazoa; Chordata; Mammalia; Rodentia; Muridae
Source: RNAcentral